RNAcentral lists this ribosomal RNA (1441 nucleotides) under uncultured organism. Its description in RNAcentral is "16S ribosomal RNA". It matches the Rfam family "Bacterial small subunit ribosomal RNA". The record is from RNAcentral.
CAGGCUUAACACAUGCAAGUCGAGGGGCAUCAGGAAGAAAGCUUGCUUUCUUUGCUGGCGACCGGCGCACGGGUGAGUAACACGUAUCCAACCUGCCCUUUACUCGGGGAUAGCCUUUCGAAAGAAAGAUUAAUACCCGAUAGCAUAAUGAUUCCGCAUGGUUUCAUUAUUAAAGGAUUCCGGUAAAGGAUGGGGAUGCGUUCCAUUAGGUUGUUGGUGAGGUAACGGCCCACCAAGCCUUCGAUGGAUAGGGGUUCUGAGAGGAAGGUCCCCCACAUUGGAACUGAGACACGGUCCAAACUCCUACGGGAGGCAGCAGUGAGGAAUAUUGGUCAAUGGGCGCUAGCCUGAACCAGCCAAGUAGCGUGAAGGAUGAAGGCUCUAUGGGUCGUAAACUUCUUUUAUAUAAGAAUAAAGUGCAGUAUGUAUACUGUUUUGUAUGUAUUAUAUGAAUAAGGAUCGGCUAACUCCGUGCCAGCAGCCGUGGUAAUACGGAGGAUCCGAGCGUUAUCCGGAUUUAUUGGGUUUAAAGGGAGCGUAGGUGGACUGGUAAGUCAGUUGUGAAAGUUUGCGGCUCAACCGUAAAAUUGCAGUUGAUACUGUCAGUCUUGAGUACAGUAGAGGUGGGCGGAAUUCGUGGUGUAGCGGUGAAAUGCUUAGAUAUCACGAAGAACUCCGAUUGCGAAGGCAGCUCACUGGACUGCAACUGACACUGAUGCUCGAAAGUGUGGGUAUCAAACAGGAUUAGAUACCCUGGUAGUCCACACAGUAAACGAUGAAUACUCGCUGUUUGCGAUAUACAGUAAGCGGCCAAGCGAAAGCAUUAAGUAUUCCACCUGGGGAGUACGCCGGCAACGGUGAAACUCAAAGGAAUUGACGGGGGCCCGCACAAGCGGAGGAACAUGUGGUUUAAUUCGAUGAUACGCGAGGAACCUUACCCGGGCUUAAAUUGCAGUGGAAUGAUGUGGAAACAUGUCAGUGAGCAAUCACCGCUGUGAAGGUGCUGCAUGGUUGUCGUCAGCUCGUGCCGUGAGGUGUCGGCUUAAGUGCCAUAACGAGCGCAACCCUUAUCUUUAGUUACUAACAGGUUAUGCUGAGGACUCUAGAGAGACUGCCGUCGUAAGAUGUGAGGAAGGUGGGGAUGACGUCAAAUCAGCACGGCCCUUACGUCCGGGGCUACACACGUGUUACAAUGGGGGGUACAGAAGGCAGCUAGCGGGUGACCGUAUGCUAAUCCCAAAAUCCUCUCUCAGUUCGGAUCGAAGUCUGCAACCCGACUUCGUGAAGCUGGAUUCGCUAGUAAUCGCGCAUCAGCCACGGCGCGGUGAAUACGUUCCCGGGCCUUGUACACACCGCCCGUCAAGCCAUGGGAGCCGGGGGUACCUGAAGUACGUAACCGCAAGGAUCGUCCUAGGGUAAAACUGGUGACUGGGGCUAAGUC